This 251-nucleotide ribosomal RNA is filed under the name uncultured prokaryote. RNAcentral's name for it is "partial 16S rRNA". It matches the Rfam family "Bacterial small subunit ribosomal RNA", at positions 525 to 775 of the family's 1533-position model. The record is from RNAcentral.
ACGGAGGGUGCAAGCGUUAAUCGGAAUUACUGGGCGUAAAGCGCACGUAGGCUGUAGUGUAAGUCAGGGGUGAAAUCCCACGGCUCAACAGUGGAACUGCCUUUGAUACUGCACAACUUGAAUCCGUGAGAGGGUGGCGGAAUUCAACGUGUAGGAGUGAAAUCCGUAGAUAUCUGGAGGAACAGCAGUGGCGAAGGCGGCCACCUGGACCGGUAUUGACGCUGAGAUGCUAAAGCGUGGGGAUCAAACAG